Molecule: transfer RNA, 73 nt
Filed under: Camelus bactrianus (Bactrian camel)
Lineage: Eukaryota; Metazoa; Chordata; Mammalia; Artiodactyla; Camelidae
Also listed under: 2 other names
Rfam family: tRNA
About the family: Transfer RNA (tRNA) molecules are approximately 80 nucleotides in length.
Source: Rfam by way of RNAcentral
GAGGGCAUAGCUCAAGUGGUAGAGCACAUGCUUAGCAUGCAUGAGGUCCUGGGUUCAAUUCUCGGUACCUUCU